ACCACACAUAUGGGCUUCCUUCUCAUUCCCAGCAGAAUCAGUAAUCAUGCUGGCAAGACAAGGCAGUCUACAUGUGUGGU
Caenorhabditis tropicalis is the source of this 80-nucleotide non-coding RNA. Lineage: Eukaryota; Metazoa; Nematoda; Chromadorea; Rhabditida; Rhabditidae. The record is from Rfam.